Rhipicephalus sanguineus (brown dog tick) is the source of this 1088-nucleotide long non-coding RNA. RefSeq lists it as uncharacterized. Lineage: Eukaryota; Metazoa; Arthropoda; Arachnida; Ixodida; Ixodidae. The record is from RefSeq and is a predicted model, not a curated record. The transcript is spliced from 3 exons.
GCUCUGGAGAUCCGCUGCAUAUUGAUGGAGUGCAGAAGCUGCUCGAUGAGAGUCAGCCCAGUGUCACCACGGGACCCUCGAUGAGCGAAAGUGACACCGGAAGCUCUGCGAACCAAAAGUGCUCUGCGGGACCCUCAAUCAGCGGAAGUGAGACUAGAACUUCUGCGAACCAAGAGGGCACCGCAUCCUGCCCAGUAAGCGAGAUAAAGCUCCCCCUAGUCAAGAGCCGAGGCCGUCCAAACAAGCGGGUGCUGCAAAGCAGGUUAAAGCGACCAAAAGAACAAGAUGAUGGCAGACCAGUGCCAUUUGAGCAGCUGUCUGAGAAGUCGCAAACACAAUGUAAGGAAGAGUGCAUUCUGCUAUUUGAAGCUUGCAUUUAUUCUAGGCACCGUGUUUGCGUUAACUUUGAUUUUUUUUCAUUACACUUUCUUCCCAGUGAUAUUGUCUGGCCUCAUUGGUGACAGCCUGUGCCCAAGGGUGCUAGAUGGUGCCUACAUCUUACAGGAGCAUGACCUGGAAGUUCGUCCAGAAGCCCUCCCCAGUGCUCUGCUAGACUGCAGAGUAUCCUUGCCUAAACUAAAAAAAAAUACUUCAGUCCUGAUGCAUGGGCUCUUUUAACUUCCUCAGUUGCUGUAAAGAAGGAGAAAGGGCUGUGGAGUUGUAGCCUUUGCGAGCUGAUCGACGAUGGACAGACUAGUAUGGUUUGCUGCGACCAAUGCCUAGAGUGGUUCCACUGGCCAUGUGCUGGGAUCACGAAGGAAACUGCAAGGAAGCUGUGGUACUGCACUCGGUGCACUUCGAAGGGUUUCACAGCUGCCUCUGAUUAAGUUCUGCCAUCAGCCUGUUAAGAAUAGCACCUGCCAAAUGAAUUCCAUGUGCCUGGGGCACUUUUGAUAACUCCAAAGUAACCAAGGUCAAUAAAAUUAUUUGCCCCCUCUGACUUUUGUGGACUUUUACCGACAGAUGCCACAGUAUCCUGGUCGUCUUCAUAUCUGCAAUAUUUCAGCUUUUUAAAUUAUUUCGGAAGUCCAACUGGUUCGCGUGGCAGAAUGAUACAAAGGUGCACAGGCAGUCCUAGUUUGCAAUAA